GCCAAUGCCACCUAACAGGGAGCCACCACCCAGCCAAAGGAGGCCACUGGUCCGUGGCGGUGGCUCUUAUGUGCCACAGAACUCUGGGAACUAUCAGAGCAGCACUUGCAAAUUGCCACCAAUUCAUGAUUCUUUCCGGAACAAGUCAUAUCUGCAGGGACUUGUGACCCUCCCCAACAAGCCCAGAGUGGCCCAGCUGCUGGGCAGGGGUGGACACAUCCCGAGGGACCAGCUUCCCAUAG
Molecule: long non-coding RNA, 242 nt
Organism: Melospiza melodia melodia
Lineage: Eukaryota; Metazoa; Chordata; Aves; Passeriformes; Passerellidae
Exons: 3
Source: RefSeq, a predicted model, not a curated record